Molecule: ribosomal RNA, 494 nt
Filed under: uncultured bacterium
Lineage: Bacteria
Description: partial 16S ribosomal RNA
Rfam family: Bacterial small subunit ribosomal RNA
Source: RNAcentral
GACGAACGCUGGCGGCGUGCUUAACACAUGCAAGUCGAACGGUGAAGCGCCUUCCUUUUUGGUGGGUGUGGAUGAGUGGCGAACGGGUGAGUAACACGUGAGUAACCUGCCCCCUUCUUCUGGAUAACCGCAUGAAAGUGUGGCUAAUACGGGAUAUUCUGGGUCUGUCGCAUGAUGGGUCUGGGAAAGAUAUUGUUUCGGUGGGGGAUGGGCUCGCGGCCUAUCAGCUUGUUGGUGGGGUGAUGGCCUACCAAGGCGGUGACGGGUAGCCGGCCUGAGAGGGUGGACGGUCACACUGGGACUGAGACACGGCCCAGACUCCUACGGGAGGCAGCAGUGGGGAAUAUUGCACAAUGGGCGCAAGCCUGAUGCAGCGACGCCGCGUGAGGGAUGGAGGCCUUCGGGUUGAGAACCUCUUUCGCCAGUGAAGCAGGCCUGCCUCGUUUGUGGGUGGGUUGACGGUAGCUGGAUAAGAAGCGCCGGCUAACUACGUG